AGCAAACCAAACCACCAUAAUUAUUACUGACAGCAAGUGAUUAGUAGAUAAUUUAGUUCGCUAAAUCAUUAAAAUGAAAUGUGUAGCUGUAUAGCAUGUCAACCCAGUGUAUAUCCCUAAAAAUCUGCAGCCGUCGUUAUCCUUUUCUUCCCUUUGAUUUUUAUCCAGACAAUCCUAUCCAUCCGGCCGCUAGUUGAAAAAUCUGCCGCCGCUUUGGGCUGUAAAAAUCCCCCGUGAAGACUUAUCUUCUUCCCCAGCCAUCUCCUCUAGCGCUUGGCUUCCUGCUUAUCGGCUUCUCUUCCUCCACGCGCCAGAACCUCCCUCCGAGCUCGCGCUCAGUGGAGCUCAAUCCCUGCCGCGUGUUGCUCCUGCUUCCUCCGCGCCGCGCGCCCUGGUGUCUGCGCGCUCCUCUCCCUCCCUGAGCUCUGUCUCACGCGGCGUCUCUGGUCUCCAGCAGCGGAGCUGCUUCUUCCCCAGCCCCGACGCCGUCGGCCGGACCUCCCUCUACCGGCUGUGAAGCUCGGUUCUGGCUUGGAUUCCCGGCGUCCCUCCAUCCUGCCUGCGCCCCCUCAGCUCGUGGAACCCCACGCUCGCCGGAUCUCCUCUGCGUCACGCGCCGGGCCUGCUCUCUGCUCGCUCCGCGCACCUGGCUAGCUUCUGCUCGGACCGAUCCAUCUUCUCAGUCGCGCGCCGGUUGUUUCUUCCCUGCGCGUCGCGAUCUCGUCCUGGCUUCCUUGCUGCGGUCGUCCUGGUAGCCACACCCAGCUGAAGCCCCUUUUUCCCGCGAGCUCCUCCCAGCUAGCUGUCGAGCUCCCUUUCGUGCGUUCUCCUGUGUUUAGCCUUGAUGCGCGCGCUCCUCUGCUUGCCAGUGUUCCCAGCUCGCCCGACCGUAGUGUUAGCACUCCUCGACGUCGGCGUUGAGUUUGGGACCCUGCUCGCUGUCGCGGCCGCCGUUAAAUCGUCGGAGUCGCUCAACUCGUCAAUCGCAUCUGAGUCGGUCGUUGAUUUUCUAUUCGCCAUGGUACAACACCGUUAUUAAAUCCGUUCUUCAACCCGCCAUGGCGUUCGUCGUUCUCUGAUCCCAGCCCGAACCAUCCGUGCGCUCGCUCCUUAUCCAUCAGGUUUUGGUGUGUUCGCGUUUAUCGUCAAGUCGUCGAACCUGUCAUCCUCUACUCGAUCCCUCUCAUCAUCUCGCUCCUGAAUUGAUCUCGUCGUUGUUCCGUACGUCAUCAAGAAAUCCCAAGAAUUAGGUGAAGACGAAGCUAGCAGCGCGAUAUUUCCCAAGCGCUCGACAAAUUGCCUGGAUCGGAAAAUCGCUACCGAUCUCGCGGAUUCGUGUCAGCUGUGAAAACGGUGCGAUAAUUAAUCACGUGAUGCGGAAGAUGACUCAAGUCGACCCCAAGCGCGGGCUAAUCCGCAGGAUGAAGCUGAUGGACCAACCUGACGAUGGUUAAAUCAAGCAAGUGCUCGAUCGAAGAAUACUCAUCAAGUGGACGUCACCUAACCAACACUAACCUAGUGUUACCCAGGCAAGCCCCGGUGCAUGCAACCCCUUCCUUGUGUUUUUAAAUACUUUU
This is a long non-coding RNA of Zea mays, 1577 nucleotides long. RefSeq lists it as uncharacterized. The record is from RefSeq and is a predicted model, not a curated record. NCBI's taxonomy places the organism in Eukaryota, Viridiplantae, Streptophyta, Magnoliopsida, Poales, Poaceae. The transcript is spliced from 2 exons.